Molecule: ribosomal RNA, 598 nt
Filed under: uncultured bacterium
Lineage: Bacteria
Description: bacterial SSU rRNA
Rfam family: Bacterial small subunit ribosomal RNA
Source: RNAcentral
GGGGACCCGCACAAGCAGCGGAGCAUGUGGUUUAAUUCGAAGCAACGCGAAGAACCUUACCAGGACUUGACAUCCCUGUGACCGGUCCGUAAUGGGACCUUCCCUUCGGGGCACAGGAGACAGGUGGUGCAUGGUUGUCGUCAGCUCGUGUCGUGAGAUGUUGGGUUAAGUCCCGCAACGAGCGCAACCCUCGUCCCUAGUUACCAGCGGGUUAUGCCGGGCACUCUAGGGAGACUGCCGGUGUCAAACCGGAGGAAGGUGGGGAUGACGUCAAGUCAUCAUGGCCCUUACGUCCAGGGCGACACACGUGCUACAAUGGCCGGUACAACGGGCUGCGAUACCGCGAGGUGGAGCGAAUCCCUAAAAGCCGGUCUCAGUUCGGAUUGGAGUCUGCAACUCGACUCCAUGAAGGCGGAAUUGCUAGUAAUCGCGAAUCAGCAACGUCGCGGUGAAUACGUUCCCGGGCCUUGUACACACCGCCCGUCACACCACGAAAGCUGGGAACACCCGAAGCCGGUGGCCCAACCCGCAAGGGAGGGAGCCGUCGAAGGUGGGACCCGUGAUUGGGGUGAAGUCGUAACAAGGUAACCGUAAGGGC